This 76-nucleotide transfer RNA is filed under the name Melioribacteraceae bacterium. Its description in RNAcentral is "tRNA-Lys". It matches the Rfam family "tRNA". Rfam says of the family: Transfer RNA (tRNA) molecules are approximately 80 nucleotides in length. Their secondary structure includes four short double-helical elements and three loops (D, anti-codon, and T loops). The record is from RNAcentral. Lineage: Bacteria; Pseudomonadati; Ignavibacteriota; Ignavibacteria; Ignavibacteriales; Melioribacteraceae.
GCUUCCUUAGCUCAGUUGGUAGAGCAGUUGACUCUUAAUCAAUUGGUCGGGGGUUCGAGUCCCCCAGGAAGCACCA